Molecule: long non-coding RNA, 898 nt
Organism: Helianthus annuus (common sunflower)
Lineage: Eukaryota; Viridiplantae; Streptophyta; Magnoliopsida; Asterales; Asteraceae
Exons: 3
Source: RefSeq, a predicted model, not a curated record
UGCAACUUUAGCUUAUUUGAUGUUAUGUGAUUUGUAAUCUUGUACCAAGCCUGUUGCAGUUUACAAAUCAUUUAUGCAACUUUUUGCCAAUUGGUGCCACGUUUCGUUGUGCCUUACAAGGCACCGCCCUUUUUCUUGGUUUUGUUUUCAUUUUACCCACACAACUCAAAACCCUAGCGAGAGAUAAAGACAGAGUUAGAGAGAUAGGGAUUUAGAAGUUUGAUGAUGAAGGUGGGUUGGCCAUUGCCUUCGGCCGAUCAUUCAGCUCUGGCGAACGACCGAGAUGCCACGCCGGUAGUGUGAUUCAGUGGUCCUUUUUUCCGCGCCUGGGGUUCCAACGACUACACUCAUAAAUAUUACCCAUGUUCCCUUUCACUACCGUUCGAUCGCCAUUGCAUUCAUUGUGUUAAAUCCCCAAAUUUUGUUUCAGAUGCUUCUUCCCUGAUAUGAGGGUUUUUGGAGACCAUGCUUCCUUAAUUACACGGUUCAACAGGUGGAGAAAACAGGAAGCUACAUCGGUUUAAGCCUGGGACUCAGGUGCUACAUGAGAUUAGGCGUUUGCAAAAGAUGGUUGAUCUGCUCAUUCCUGCUGCUCUGUUCAUUUGAACUACAUGCUGAUUCCAGACACACAACUGAAGCAGAAAAUUGAAGAAUAUGUAAGGUCACCACAAAGGAUGCAACAUUGUGAAGAGAUGAAUAUGCAAAGCUGCUUUAAAUCUUCAAUUCGUUCAGCAAAUGGUAUCGGACCUUUGAUUAGAAACUACUUUUAGACUGUUAUUUUAAAUUUGACAAAUAGUUUGAUCAAAGUUUGGAUAAAGUUAAGCAUUCGAAAAACAAUCUUAAUACGGUGUAUACCUUAUUUAUUUAUAAGAAUCAAAUUAUCAUCUUUUUAAGGUUG